This 393-nucleotide ribosomal RNA is filed under the name uncultured bacterium. Its description in RNAcentral is "partial 16S ribosomal RNA". It matches the Rfam family "Bacterial small subunit ribosomal RNA", at positions 523 to 918 of the family's 1533-position model. The record is from RNAcentral.
AUACGGAGGAUGCGAGCGUUAUCCGGAUUUAUUGGGUUUAAAGGGAGCGUAGGUGGACAGUUAAGUCAGUUGUGAAAGUUUGCGGCUCAACCGUAAAAUUGCAGUUGAUACUGGUUGUCUUGAGUACAGUAGAGGUGGGCGGAAUUCGUGGUGUAGCGGUGGAAUGCUUAGAUAUCACGAAGAACUCCGAUCGCGAAGGCAGCUCACCGGGCCGGAACUGACACUGAUGCUCGAAAGUGCGGGUAUCAAACAGGAUUAGAUACCCUGGUAGUCCGCACAGUAAACGAUGAAUACUCGCUGUUUGCGAUACACUGUAAGCGGCCAAGCGAAAGCGUUAAGUAUUCCACCUGGGGAGUACGCCGGCAACGGUGAAACUCAAAGGAAUUGGCGGGG